AGCUGAUGAAGGAACGCUUGGUCCAGGUUGGCAGAUGUUCCUGGAAGGUUUGGGAACCAGUGUCCUAAGGAGACUCACUCUGGCCUAGAGGCCCAGCAUCCUCCACCCAGUGAAUCGCAGGGGCCCACCUGCCCACGGCGAGCCUGAGCUGCAGUCUCCCGAGUUUUCUGGCCACAAAGAUGUCUGCCUGAGGCCCAGAGAAGAGAGCCAGGGGCCGGCUCAAGGCCACCUCUCCCCACAAGUCAGUUCUUGACUCAGAGCUCCAAAAUCCCUUGGAAUUUCCUGCGUGAGAGGAGCAUCUUCUGUCUAAUGAGACCCCCGGUAAAUAGUUGUAUAUUCUUAGUUGUGGCAUGUGGGAUGCCACCUCAGCGUGGCCUGACAAGUGGUGCCAUGUCCGCACCCAGGAUCCGAACCUGAGAAACCCCAGGCCACCACAGUGGAGCACAUGAACUUAACCACUCAGCCACGGGGCCGGCCCCUCAGAAUUGAAUUAAAUUCUAGGACACCUGGCUGGUGUGGCAAAGAAUUGCUUGGUGUGGAAAACGCACACACCUGGCUUCAGAAGAGAAGGAAAGCAUCGUGUGUGAGUGAGGGAGACGCAGAGGGAACUGUUCCUACAGUGGGGGCGGGGUCUGAGGGUCAGCGUGGGGCUAGGAUGGGGGCCUCUGGAUCAGGGUGGGGCCAGGGGUGGAAUCCUGGGCUCUGCCCCCAACUCCCUGUGUGACUUUGGGCAGGUUGCUACCCCCACCACUCUGGUCCUUGGUUCAUAAGAUGGUUGGGUAGGGAGGUGUGUGGGAAAUGCUUUUGGUUUUGAUUAUAAAAUAUCACUCAUCUAAAGCACAUCUAUAGGCAACUUAAAGAAAAGAGAAAGAACGCCUAUGUUAAGCACACCUGGCUUAAGAAAUAACGUUCCCAGGACCUUUGAAGCCCCUACAGGCACUGCCCCAUCCUGUCCCCUCCCCAGAGGUAACCGCUUUCUCAAAUUUGGUUUUCCUCCUUUGCUUUGCUUUGCUUUCUAUGUACAAACCCCUCGGACAAUGCUGCGUUCGUUCUGCACGUCCACGGAACCGAGCUCCAGGCAUUCUGAGAGUCGCCUGCACUGCCCAGCACGUCGUCGGGGACCCGUCCACAUAGACGAGGGCACACAGGGUUCCGCGUGUGCCGUCCCUCAGCGUACUCACCCUGUCUCCUGUUGAUGCAACUUUGGGUUGUUUCUACUUUGGGGUCUUCCUCGGUUUUGAUCUAUUUUUGCUGUUUUGCCCCCGCCUCGUGGUGCUCGUUGCACUGCUGUCUCCCGGUUGCACAUCUUGGAGAAAUUACCGAGUCGGGGGGACAUGUGCCUUCACCUUCCUGCACAACAUCAAAGUUACUCCCAAGGGGUUCUUCCUAUGUCCAUUCCCACAGCAGAAGAUAAGUGCUUUCUGUCCGGUAUCCAUGAUGACACUUUGUUUCCUCAGAUCUUUUCAUUUUUGCUGGUCCAGUCAUUGUGAAAAACAAAACCAGACAAACCACCAAAAUCUGACAACGAAUGGGGUCGGGCUUCUUGCAGAAGCUUGCGGGUUGUGACUCUCUUCUGUGAACGCUUAUCCGUGCACUCGCCCACUUUCUUUUGGGUGGUUUGCUUUUUUCUUGAUGAUUUGCAGGAUUAUUUACUUAUCCGAGGUACAAUUCCUUCAUCAGUUGCAAGAACUGCCAAGACCUCUUCCGGUUUGUGGCUUGCCAUUUGACUUUGUGUAUCGUGUCUGGGAAUGGCCAGAAGUUUUUACUAUUAAUGUACUCAAAUUGAUCAUCUUUUUCUUUGGUGCCAUUGACUUUUUAGCAACAUGGCUCUUUGUCCAAAAGAAGCCACAUAUGGAUCCCAACAUAGAAUGCCCUCCCCCCUUACAGGGCCAAUUUUUUUCCUUAAAGAAAAUUUCUUGGGCAAAUUAUCAUAAACCAAAGACCUCAUGGCCAUGGAGAUUAAUGUUACACAUUUUCAGUAGUUAAUAAAAUAAACAUAUAGUGCUCAGUGCUUUAAUAAUUGAAUCUUUUGCAACAAG
Molecule: long non-coding RNA, 2039 nt
Organism: Equus asinus (donkey)
Lineage: Eukaryota; Metazoa; Chordata; Mammalia; Perissodactyla; Equidae
Source: Ensembl